UACAAUUUAUGAGUGGAUAUAUUUACAUUAUUUUGGAUAUAGGGACAGCUUCUUCCAAGUUAGUUACAAGCAGAUAAUGAACAUCUGUUGUGUAACUGUGGAUAUGUUUGACACGACAGUAAUGCAUACACAGUACUCGCAUCUGUGUAACAACUUUGCAGUACCCACCGCAGCAACCUCAGCGUAAGUCUCUGUCACUGUUAGGUUGAGGGUGGAAAAAAUAUUUCACACCCACUCAUGCACAGCUCAUUUCGUCGUACUUGAGGGGAGUUUAUACUGCAGAGAGGAUGAGAAGACAACGAUGAAAAUGUCACUGAUGCAAUCAGCAUUGGUGCUACUGACUGUUUGCGUUGCAGCAGCGGCUCAGUGUUCCGCCAUUCUGAAUGAAUCCCAAGCAAGAGUGGACGUUCCCGUGGGUUCCUCCCUCACUUUGUGCCACCGACUGAAGAGCUGGACAUCAAAGAGAUUCAGAAUUUGCUGGCAUUUUAAUCCAUCUGAACCCUCGUUGGUCCACUCUGAGCAACUCUUUUGCUCCAACAUGUCAAACAGAACCGAGCAAAAAGAGAUAUCACUGAACUAUACUUUAGCCAAUGUCACUCAGCAACACAGCGGAUGGUACUUUUGCCGCAUCCAUGUGGAUAUUCCGGAACUGAGGACUCUGGACAGUAGUGGAACACCAGUGCUUGUUCAUCAAGUGGAGGUGGCUCCGGCAUGAUGUCAGGGUGCCACCUGGAUACUUCCCUGGUGAGGUGUUCCAGGCAUGUCCCACUGGGAAGAAUCCCGAGGACGAGCCAGGACAUGCUGGAGAGACUAUGUCUCCCAGCUGGCUUGGGAACGCCUCGAGGUCCUCCAGGAGGAGCUGGACAAUGUGGCUGGGGAGAGGGGAGUCUGGGCUUCCCUGCUUAAGCUGCUGCCACUGAGACCUGACCUCAGAUAAGUGGAGGACAAUGAAUUGGAUGGAUGGAUAUUACAAGCUUUUCUUUUUUUGGCUUUGGGCGUUCCACUGUACAUUGUCAGUCAAAAGUUUGGAAAAAGACUCAAAUUCCUGUUUUUUUUCAUGAUUUAAAAAAAAUUCUAGAAUUUUAGAUUAAUAGUUAAGUCGGUGACAUAUUGAAAUAUUGAAAGACUUAUAUUUGGUUCAAAAAAAUGAUAAUCAAAAUAAAAUGUUUUUAUGAUUUUGAUUCUCCAAGUCGGACCCGUUGCCAAGACAACAGCAUUGCGCAUCUUCUUCUGCUAUUCUCAGUCAGCUAUGUGAUGUGGAUGUUUCUUUAUGUCCUGAAAUGACUUUCAGUUCACGGCUGUGCAUUAUCAAGAGUUACCGGUAAUAGUUAGAAUUUAUGGGCCUCUUAAUUUGUUUGAGACCAUUUCAAUAUAAAGGUGUUUCCAAACUUUUGCCUUUUACUGUAUAUCAAUCAUUGGCAUGAGCACAAAGCACUUCAAUCUAGCCAUGUAUUUCUUGCAGAGGGUGUUUCUGUGCCUCCCACAGAUGUGCCCCUGCUGGAGACGUGGUGGCUGUGGGUCACUGUUGGAGUGCUCGGCCUCAUCAUACCGGCACUGCUGAUUCUGUGUGUGCUUCUGAUACGACGAUGUAGACGCAAAGAACCACACUGUGCAAUCUACGUGAACACUCAUCAUUCCUCACGACCACCUGUUGUCAGGGACCAGCUCAGCGUGGCCCCCAGGUGCCAAGUGGCUCGCACUCCAAGUCCUGCCAGGGACAAGCACAGCAGCAGCAAACAGAGGUCCAGACAGUAGCCAAGAUAGAGACCAAAAAUUCCACACGUUUCUUUCCAAUGUUAUUUAUAUUUAAUGCAGAGUUGUCAUUCCAAUGUGGCAAUCAAUGUGUAAUGUCUUCUAAUUCUUUUUAAGAAUUGUUUUCUGAGUUUUUUCCCCACCCCCAUUUUCUUUGUCGUUUUACACACAAAAUGUUACACUUGUUACACGUUGUGCACUGUACAUGUGGUUUGAUGACAUGUGUGCAUAUUGCAGUGUGUACAAAAACUGCCUGUGUGCACUGAGGUUUUUUUUAGCCCGUUUAAAUAACGAUAUAAGAGAAUUUAAGCUUCAAUCCACGUCCACAUGUGUGAGACUGUGGAUGGCGGAGGAAAGCAUAGAUCCUUCUUCAUGUCACACACAUACAUUAAAGUAAAUCAACUGAAGCUUCUGGUUGUCAAGGCAUACAACACCUCAUCCAGAAAUGGUAUUGCAAGUUUCACCAGGAAAUAACCAGCUUGUUUCCAGCCUGUAACACACACUCAAGAUCGACUCAGCCAUUUUUCACACUGAAAGUCAUGCCUGCUAAAGGGUUCUUUAACUUCAACUCCCAUUGUGCAAGUGUCAUAGAACUCCAUCCAAAAUUCUGUUUCUUAUGGACGUUUAAGAUGCAUGGUUUUGGAAUACUAGAGGUCGCCUGAGCACUCGCAAUGCAAAUCCACAGCACAAAACCUGUGAGGGAGAUAGCGGUAUGAUAACCACUUGUGCCGGAUAGAUGUCUAGGUAUAUAAGAUAGAUUUAUUUAGGGCAAAUUGAGACAACUGUUCAGUUGAAACCUUCCACUCCAUCUUCUUUUCCAUUCAAUGUUUUGUUUAUUUUUUUUCCAGCUUGACAUUCACAGUCUUGACCAAAAUGCACAGGCACUAUACACAUUGUUACAUAUGCAGUAUAUAACAAAUAUAUUGUACUGAAAUUGAAGCUCAAAUUUCACCAGAGGCCACAAGAGCUGGACGAAACACAUCUUUGUAAAGCGCACAUGAAAUCUGCAGACAAGCAAAAAGCAAA
RNA transcript from Hippocampus comes (tiger tail seahorse), 2778 nucleotides. RefSeq lists it as uncharacterized. The transcript is spliced from 4 exons. Lineage: Eukaryota; Metazoa; Chordata; Actinopteri; Syngnathiformes; Syngnathidae. The record is from RefSeq and is a predicted model, not a curated record.